CGUAACGGUUCAGAUCUCGUGGAGGUUCAGAAGCUGCUAGGUGAACAUGCAAUGAAAAUUCUUAUGAUGUGUAAGGUGUACUAAUCCUUUUAAAGAAAAAGACAAGUACUUCUGUAGCAUUACUCCAGCAUACUCCAUCAUUACUCCAUAUCCGUUAUAAAGAUGACUUCUUUAUGUUGACUACUAAGGAGGGGAAAAUGAUUGUUGAGAGGGAUCAUUUCAGGGUUAAAAGGGAAAGUGAGUUGCGUAAUUUAGACUUUGAGCAACAUCCUGCUCAGAUUCUUGAUGCUUUCAUGCCACUCUAUUUGAAUAGCCAGAUUUUGAGGGCACUUGAAGAGUCAUUUGCGAGUGAGCUUGCUGCUAGGAUGAAUGCAAUGAGUAAUGCCACGUGUCUGCAGGAGCGGAGGGAGAGUAGGAGAUAUGGGUUCGACCGAACCCAGUGGCUUUGGUGCAAAUCAUUGAUGCUGCUGCAAAUGAAAGUAAAAAGACA
Non-coding RNA from Nicotiana tabacum (common tobacco), 490 nucleotides. The record is from RefSeq and is a predicted model, not a curated record. NCBI's taxonomy places the organism in Eukaryota, Viridiplantae, Streptophyta, Magnoliopsida, Solanales, Solanaceae.